UCCUGGCUCAGGAUGAACGCUGGCGGCGUGCCUAACACAUGCAAGUCGAACGAAGUCACUUACUUACGAUUCUUUCGGGAUGACGAGUAUUUGACUGAGUGGCGGACGGGUGAGUAACGCGUGGGUAACCUACCUCACACAGGGGGAUAACAGUUAGAAAUGACUGCUAAUACCGCAUAAGCGCACAGUGCUCCGCAUGGCACAGUGUGAAAAACUCCGGUGGUGUGAGAUGGACCCGCGUCUGAUUAGCUAGUUGGUGAGGUAACGGCCCACCAAGGCAACGAUCGGUAGCCGGACUGAGAGGUCGAACGGCCACAUUGGGACUGAGACACGGCCCAGACUCCUACGGGAGGCAGCAGUGGGGAAUAUUGGUCAAUGGGGGAAACCCUGAUGCAGCAACGCCGCGUGAGGGAAGACGGUUUUCGGAUUGUAAACCUCUGUCCUCUGUGAAGAAGAAAGUGACGGUAGCAGAGGAGGAAGCCACGGCUAACUACGUG
This 497-nucleotide ribosomal RNA is filed under the name uncultured bacterium. RNAcentral describes it as "bacterial SSU rRNA". It matches the Rfam family "Bacterial small subunit ribosomal RNA", at positions 17 to 507 of the family's 1533-position model. The record is from RNAcentral.